GGAGCGCCCGUUUCCCUUUAGUGCUGACAAAGGUUUUGUUCGAUCUCAUAGAAUGCAGAGGAAGCACUACAGGGGGCUAUCGAAUCCUCAGUGUAUUCAUGGUAUUGAGGUUGUUUCAUCUCCCAGUCUCAUGGUUCUUGAUGAAGAGGAGCGCAAAAGAUGGAUGGAACUCACAGGUAGGGAACUCAACUUCAGUAUUCCUCACGAAGCAAGCGAUUACAGUUCAUGGAGAAACCUCCCCAACACUGAAUUUGAACUUGAGAGACCCCUCCCGCCAAUUAAGAGUAACCCGCAUCCCAAUCCAAAGAAACUGGCUAAUGGAUCAGGGCUUAAUUUGUUAACUCAGCCAUCGAAUCACAGCAACGGGGACGCAAUGGAUCUACUACCUGCGAAUGGGAAAAGGAAAAAGGAUUUCUUCCCUCACGGAAAUGACGAUGAGUGUUUCCUGCAAGUAAAUCCUCCUUCCUAUCAAACUCCAGAUCUUGAAAUUCACCCAACCGAACCGCAUUGGUUACAUGACUUCAGUGGGGUGAUGAGGGAUGUCUACGGGCCAGUAACAGCUGCAAAAAGCAUAUAUGAAGAUGAACAAGGUUACUUAAUCGUACUCAGUUUGCCAUUUGUAGAUCUUCAAAGGGUGAAAGUUUCGUGGCGAAACACACUCACACAUGGUAUAAUAAAGGUAUCUUGUUUAAGCACAUCUCGUAUGCCAUUCAUCAACAGACAAAACAGAACUUUCAAGCUUGACGAGUCAUCCUCAGAACACUGCCCUCCAGGUGAGUUUGUCAGAGAAAUUCCUCUUUCAACAAGAAUCCCAGAAGAUGCCAAAAUUGAAGCAUACUACGACGAAUCAGGAACUGUGCUAGAGAUGUUGGUACCAAAACUUUGUGAAGGACCUGAAGAACAUGAAGUUCGCGUAUGCCUCCGUCCUCACCUUGGAGGAAACGACCUCAUGUUGACCUAAGUGUAGAUGUACUGAUGUGCCUGUUUGGUGAAAGGGUGCACCAACUUAAGUUUCAUAUGAUGUUGGUUUAUGCAAUUUUAUGAUCUAUUUGCACACACUAGGUGUUGUUGGUAGGUUUUGCCAUACUAGCUGUAGCUUCUGUUGCAACGCUAUUUGGUAUGAUAUUCAAUGCUAGUUUCGGUCUGUCUAUGUAGAGGGUAUUCGAUAUUCGAAUAUGAUUUACUUUUAAGUUUUA
RNAcentral lists this unclassified non-coding RNA (1196 nucleotides) under Hevea brasiliensis (rubber tree). The record is from RNAcentral. Lineage: Eukaryota; Viridiplantae; Streptophyta; Magnoliopsida; Malpighiales; Euphorbiaceae.